This 464-nucleotide ribosomal RNA is filed under the name uncultured bacterium. Its description in RNAcentral is "partial 16S ribosomal RNA". It matches the Rfam family "Bacterial small subunit ribosomal RNA", at positions 29 to 507 of the family's 1533-position model. The record is from RNAcentral.
ACGAACGCUGGCGGCGUGCUUAACACAUGCAAGUCGAACGGAAAGGCCCUGCUUGCAGGGUACUAGAGUGGCGAACGGGUGAGUAACACGUGGGUGAUCUGCCCUGCACUUCGGGAUAAGCCUGGGAAACUGGGUCUAAUACCGGAUAGGAGCCAUUUUUAGUGUGAUGGUUGGAAAGUUUUUUCGGUGUAGGAUGAGCUCGCGGCCUAUCAGCUUGUUGGUGGGGUAAUGGCCUACCAAGGCGGCGACGGGUAGCCGGCCUGAGAGGGUGGACGGCCACAUUGGGACUGAGAUACGGCCCAGACUCCUACGGGAGGCAGCAGUGGGGAAUAUUGCACAAUGGGCGCAAGCCUGAUGCAGCGACGCCGCGUGGGGGAUGACGGCCUUCGGGUUGUAAACUCCUUUCGCUAGGGACGAAGCUUUUUGUGACGGUACCUAGAUAAGAAGCACCGGCUAACUACGUG